AGUAAAAAGUAGAAUAAUAGAUUUGAAAUAUUUAUUAUAUAGAUUUAAAGAGAUAAUCAUGGAGUAUAAAAAUUAAAUUUAAUAAAUUUAAUAUAACUAUUAAUAGAAUUAGGUUACUAAUAAAUUAAUAACAAUUAAUUUUAAAACCUAAAGGUAAACCUUUAUAUUAAUAAUGUUUUUUUUUUAUUUUUAUAAUUAAGAAUAAUUAUUAAUAAUAAUAAACUAAGUGAACUGAAACAUCUAAGUAACUUAAGGAUAAUAAAUCAACAGAGAUAUUAUGAGUAUUGGUGAGAGAAAAUAAUAAAGGUCUAAUAAGUAUUAUGUGAAAAAAAUGUAAGAAAAUAGGAUAACAAAUUCUAAGACUAAAUACUAUUAAUAAGUAUAGUAAGUACCGUAAGGGAAAGUAUGAAAAUGAUUAUUUUAUAAGCAAUCAUGAAUAUAUUAUAUUAUAUUAAUGAUGUACCUUUUGUAUAAUGGGUCAGCAAGUAAUUAAUAUUAGUAAAACAAUAAGUUAUAAAUAAAUAGAAUAAUAUAUAUAUAUAAAAAAAUAUAUUAAAAUAUUUAAUUAAUAUUAAUUGACCCGAAAGCAAACGAUCUAACUAUGAUAAGAUGGAUAAACGAUCGAACAGGUUGAUGUUGCAAUAUCAUCUGAUUAAUUGUGGUUAGUAGUGAAAGACAAAUCUGGUUUGCAGAUAGCUGGUUUUCUAUGAAAUAUAUGUAAGUAUAGCCUUUAUAAAUAAUAAUUAUUAUAUAAUAUUAUAUAAAUAUUAUAUAAAGAAUGGUACAGCAAUUAAUAUAUAUUAGGGAACUAUUAAAGUUUUAUUAAUAAUAUUAAAUCUCGAAAUAUUUAAUUAUAUAUAAUAAAGAGUCAGAUUAUGUGCGAUAAGGUAAAUAAUCUAAAGGGAAACAGCCCAGAUUAAGAUAUAAAGUUCCUAAUAAAUAAUAAGUGAAAUAAAUAUUAAAAUAUUAUAAUAUAAUCAGUUAAUGGGUUUGACAAUAACCAUUUUUUAAUGAACAUGUAACAAUGCACUGAUUUAUAAUAAAUAAAAAAAAUAAUAUUUAAAAUCAAAUAUAUAUAUAUUUGUUAAUAGAUAAUAUACGGAUCUUAAUAAUAAGAAUUAUUUAAUUCCUAAUAUGGAAUAUUAUAUUUUUAUAAUAAUAAUAAAAAUAUAAAUACUGAAUAUCUAAAUAUUAUUAUUACUUUUUUUUUUAAUAAUAAUAAUAUGGUAAUAGAACAUUUAAUGAUAAUAUAUAUUAGUUAUUAAUUAAUAUAUGUAUUAAUUAAAUAGAGAAUGCUGACAUGAGUAACGAAAAAAAGGUAUAAACCUUUUCACCUAAAACAUAAGGUUUAACUAUAAAAGUACGGCCCCUAAUUAAAUUAUAUAAGAAUAUAAAUAUAUUUAAGAUGGGAUAAUCUAUAUUAAUAAAAAUUUAUCUUAAAAUAUAUAUAUUAUUAAUAAUUAUAUUAAUUAAUUAAUAAUAUAUAUAAUUAUAUUAUAUAUUAUAUUUUUAUAUAUAAUAUAUAUAAUAUAAACUAAUAAAGAUCAGGAAAUAAUUAAUGUAUACCGUAAUGUAGACCGACUCAGGUAUGUAAGUAGAGAAUAUGAAGGUGAAUUAGAUAAUUAAAGGGAAGGAACUCGGCAAAGAUAGCUCAUAAGUUAGUCAAUAAAGAGUAAUAAGAACAAAGUUGUACAACUGUUUACUAAAAACACCGCACUUUGCAGAAACGAUAAGUUUAAGUAUAAGGUGUGAACUCUGCUCCAUGCUUAAUAUAUAAAUAAAAUUAUUUAACGAUAAUUUUAUUAAAUUUAGGUAAAUAGCAGCCUUAUUAUGAGGGUUAUAAUGUAGCGAAAUUCCUUGGCCUAUAAUUGAGGUCCCGCAUGAAUGACGUAAUGAUACAACAACUGUCUCCCCUUUAAGCUAAGUGAAAUUGAAAUCGUAGUGAAGAUGCUAUGUACCUUCAGCAAGACGGAAAGACCCUAUGCAGCUUUACUGUAAUUAGAUAGAUCGAAUUAUUGUUUAUUAUAUUCAGCAUAUUAAGUAAUCCUAUUAUUAGGUAAUCGUUUAGAUAUUAAUGAGAUACUUAUUAUAAUAUAAUGAUAAUUCUAAUCUUAUAAAUAAUUAUUAUUAUUAUUAUUAUUAAUAAUAAUAAUAUGCUUUCAAGCAUAGUGAUAAAACAUAUUUAUAUGAUAAUCACUUUACUUAAUAGAUAUAAUUCUUAAGUAAUAUAUAAUAUAUAUUAUAUAUAUAUUAUAUAUAAUAUAAGAGACAAUCUCUAAUUGGUAGUUUUGAUGGGGCGUCAUUAUCAGCAAAAGUAUCUGAAUAAGUCCAUAAAUAAAUAUAUAAAAUUAUUGAAUAAAAAAAUAAUAUAUAUUAUAUAUAUUAAUUAUAAAUUGAAAUAUGUUUAUAUAAAUUUAUAUUUAUUGAAUAUAUUUUAGUAAUAGAUAAAAAUAUGUACAGUAAAAUUGUAAGGAAAACAAUAAUAACUUUCUCCUCUCUCGGUGGGGGUUCACACCUAUUUUUAAUAGGUGUGAACCCCUCUUCGGGGUUCCGGUUCCCUUUCGGGUCCCGGAACUUAAAUAAAAAUGGAAAGAAUUAAAUUAAUAUAAUGGUAUAACUGUGCGAUAAUUGUAACACAAACGAGUGAAACAAGUACGUAAGUAUGGCAUAAUGAACAAAUAACACUGAUUGUAAAGGUUAUUGAUAACGAAUAAAAGUUACGCUAGGGAUAACAGGGUAAUAUAACGAAAGAGUAGAUAUUGUAAGUUAUGUUUGCCACCUCGAUGUCGACUCAACAUUUCCUCUUGGUUGUAAAAGCUAAGAAGGGUUUGACUGUUCGUCAAUUAAAAUGUUACGUGAGUUGGGUUAAAUACGAUGUGAAUCAGUAUGGUUCCUAUCUGCUGAAGGAAAUAUUAUCAAAUUAAAUCUCAUUAUUAGUACGCAAGGACCAUAAUGAAUCAACCCAUGGUGUAUCUAUUGAUAAUAAUAUAAUAUAUUUUAUAAAAAUAAUACUUUAUUAAUAUAUUAUCUAUAUUAGUUUAUAUUUUAAUUAUAUAUUAUCAUAGUAGAUAAGCUAAGUUGAUAAUAAAUAAAUAUUGAAUACAUAUUAAAUAUGAAGUUGUUUUAAUAAGAUAAUUAAUCUGAUAAUUUUAUACUAAAAUUAAUAAUUAUAGGUUUUAUAUAUUAUUUAUAAAUAUAAUAUAAUAAUUAUUAUUAUUAAUAAAAAAAAUAUUAAUUAUAAUAUUAAUAAAAUACUAAUUUAUCAGUUAUCUAUAUAAUAUCUAAUCUAUUAUUCUAUAUACU
This 3303-nucleotide ribosomal RNA is filed under the name Saccharomyces cerevisiae (brewer's yeast). RNAcentral describes it as "large subunit ribosomal RNA". The stretch from base 189 to 3156 matches the Rfam family "Bacterial large subunit ribosomal RNA". The record is from RNAcentral. Lineage: Eukaryota; Fungi; Ascomycota; Saccharomycetes; Saccharomycetales; Saccharomycetaceae. RNAcentral also lists the same sequence under 1 other name.